AGACAGUUAGUUUAAGAAAAACCUUUGAUUUCGACUC
This 37-nucleotide transfer RNA is filed under the name Abudefduf hoefleri (African sergeant). RNAcentral describes it as "partial tRNA-Arg". Lineage: Eukaryota; Metazoa; Chordata; Actinopteri; Pomacentridae. The record is from RNAcentral.